AAAACAUCACCUGAAAACAUACCUGAAAUGAGCAUCUAAAAUUACAAAAAUUGGAGACAGACAAUAUCUGGAGAAUGUGAUGCACCAGCCAUACGAAAAAUGAGAGAUUUUAUUUAUCCAGUUAUCAGCCCUAUGUGAAUCAUCAGCACAUCAUGGCAGAGUUAAGCGUGUCAGCUGGUUCUUCAGGAUGAGUGUGCCUGGGCCGUGGAGGGGAGAAAAGAGUGAGACAGACAAUAUCUGGAGAAUGUGAUGCACCAGCCAUAUGAAAAAUGAGAGAUUUUAUUUAUCCAGGCGCAUCAUGGUGGAGCAGGAGAUGUUAUCAAGAUGUGUUUGUCCUCAAGAUAAGUCAAGCUCUCUUUCACCUUGUCCAAAUGUCAGCUGAGAAUUACAGCGCAAUGACAGGAGUCUUAAAUUGAUCCAGGAAAAAAAGGUGCCAUUACAGAGCUUCUCGGCCAAUCCGUAAUAGUUCCUUUAUUA
Long non-coding RNA from Chelonia mydas (Green sea turtle), 477 nucleotides. RefSeq lists it as uncharacterized. NCBI's taxonomy places the organism in Eukaryota, Metazoa, Chordata, Testudines, Cheloniidae. The transcript is spliced from 6 exons. The record is from RefSeq and is a predicted model, not a curated record.